GUGCUUUUCUCAGCAGCACACAUACUAAAAUUGGAACAAUACAGAGAAGAUUUGUAUGGCCUCUGUGCAAGGAUGACAUGCAAACUUGUGGAGAGUUCCAUAUUUUU
Molecule: small nuclear RNA, 107 nt
Organism: Phascolarctos cinereus (koala)
Lineage: Eukaryota; Metazoa; Chordata; Mammalia; Diprotodontia; Phascolarctidae
Source: Ensembl